CUCUUUGGUAUGGGUAACAGCAGUUUCAGUGUCUUCCUGUGGUCUGUGAAGAAGAGAAACUUAACAACAAGAAGAGGGAAAGGGAAGGAUGGUAAAUUAUCUGGAGGCUGUUUCAAUGACAUUAGUCACCUAAUGAGAAGACACAGGAGUAAUGAGAAGACACAGGAGGUAGAGCAGCACUUGCUGACUCAGAAGCAUUAACAUGAAACGCUGGAGUGCAGGGCACAAUAAUGGUUGACUGCAGCCUCAACCUCCAGGGCUCAAGGGAUCCUUCCACCUCAGCCUCCCCAGUCGUUGGGAUUACACAGAUAUUUCAAGAUUCAGCAUCAUUUCAGACCCUGAAAAAUCCCUGAAAAUUGAAUUCUCAAUAGAUAAUGCAACUCCACAUAAUAUCUGGAUUUUGUAAAUGCUUGCUAAUAAAUUAUUUUACAACGUG
Long non-coding RNA from Pan troglodytes (chimpanzee), 436 nucleotides. RefSeq lists it as uncharacterized. Lineage: Eukaryota; Metazoa; Chordata; Mammalia; Primates; Hominidae. The record is from RefSeq and is a predicted model, not a curated record. The transcript is spliced from 5 exons.